This 74-nucleotide transfer RNA is filed under the name Spirochaetales bacterium. Its description in RNAcentral is "tRNA-Arg". It matches the Rfam family "tRNA". From Rfam's summary of the family: Transfer RNA (tRNA) molecules are approximately 80 nucleotides in length. Their secondary structure includes four short double-helical elements and three loops (D, anti-codon, and T loops). The record is from RNAcentral. Lineage: Bacteria; Pseudomonadati; Spirochaetota; Spirochaetia; Spirochaetales.
GCAUCCUUAGCUCAGCUGGAUAGAGCGCCGGACUUCGAAUCCGUAGGUCGUAGGUUCGAAUCCUACAGGGUGUA